AGCGAACGCUGGCGGCAGGCCUAACACAUGCAAGUCGAGCGGCCGUAGCAAUACGGCAGCGGCAGACGGGAUAGUAACACGUGGGAACGCGCCCUUCGGUUCGGAAUAACUCAGGGAAACUUGAGCUAAUACCGGAUACGCCCUUACGGGAAGAUUAUUGCCGAAGGAACGGCCCGCGUCCGAUUAGCUAGUUGGUGAGGUAAUGGCUCACCAAGGCAACGAUCGGUAGCUGGUCNGAGAGGACGAUCAGCCACACUGGGACUGAGACACGGCCCAGACUCCUACCGGGAGGCAGCAGUGGGGAAUCUUGCGCAAUGGGCGAAAGGCCUGACGCAGCGAUGCCGCGUGA
This 349-nucleotide ribosomal RNA is filed under the name uncultured bacterium. RNAcentral's name for it is "bacterial SSU rRNA". It matches the Rfam family "Bacterial small subunit ribosomal RNA", at positions 29 to 404 of the family's 1533-position model. The record is from RNAcentral.